Long non-coding RNA from Drosophila sulfurigaster albostrigata, 506 nucleotides. RefSeq lists it as uncharacterized. NCBI's taxonomy places the organism in Eukaryota, Metazoa, Arthropoda, Insecta, Diptera, Drosophilidae. The transcript is spliced from 3 exons. The record is from RefSeq and is a predicted model, not a curated record.
UAUAAAGUAAACUCAAGUACACACUUUUAAGAAAAUUUCAAAAUCUUUUCUAAAUUAUUUUUAAAAUUAUGUUAAUUAGGUGAUGUUUGAAGAAUCCUCACCCAACAAUCCAUAGCUUUGCACUAACAACUUUUAAGUGUCGAAGCUAAUACCAGCAUUUGGCCAAAAGGUCGCACACGCAAACGAGCGCGCGCCAAUCCUUAGAGGGUGAAACUCAGAUCCAGAGUGAGGGUGACACGCGCGCAACAAGAGAGGAACCCUCGAAGAAGAAGAAAAAGUGGUGGGAAAUUCCAAUGUUCGCAUUCGGACCCCUAUUCGAUCGUCUGACGUGUGAUAUUUCCAAUUGGACUGGUGUUUAUUAUAAGGGAUUCCAUCUGACCAAAGCAAAUCGACAGCAAAACAUUUGUGGACAUGCAGGCAGGUGAUCGAAAACAUUUGGACAAUUAAAAUAAUAGAGUGCAAAUGAGCUGACAAAAUCCAGAACUGUUUUGUUUAUGUAAUAAAUU